This 842-nucleotide ribosomal RNA is filed under the name Ascocoryne sarcoides. RNAcentral describes it as "partial large subunit ribosomal RNA". It matches the Rfam family "Eukaryotic large subunit ribosomal RNA", at positions 56 to 918 of the family's 3401-position model. The record is from RNAcentral. Lineage: Eukaryota; Fungi; Ascomycota; Leotiomycetes; Helotiales; Gelatinodiscaceae.
AGCAGGACAACAGGGAUUGCCUCAGUAACGGCGAGUGAAGCGGCAACAGCUCAAAUUUGAAAUCUGGCUCUUUUAGAGUCCGAGUUGUAAUUUGUAGAAGAUGCUUCGGGUGCGGCCCCAGUCCAAGUUCCUUGGAAGAGGACGUCAUAGAGGGUGAGAAUCCCGUAUGUGACCAGGUGCCCGCGCCCAUGUGAAGCUCUUUCGACGAGUCGAGUUGUUUGGGAAUGCAGCUCUAAAUGGGUGGUAUAUUUCAUCUAAAGCUAAAUAUUGGCCAGAGACCGAUAGCGCACAAGUAGAGUGAUCGAAAGAUGAAAAGCACUUUGGAAAGAGAGUUAAACAGUACGUGAAAUUGUUGAAAGGGAAGCGCUUGCAAUCAGACUUGCGCGCCGUCGAUCAUCCCAGGUUCUCCUGGGUGCACUCGGCGGCGCUCAGGCCAGCAUCGGUUCUGGUGGUGGGAUAAAGGCCUUGGGAAUGUAGCUCCUUUCGGGGAGUGUUAUAGCCCUCGGUGCAAUGCCGCCUACCGGGACCGAGGACCGCGCUUCGGCUAGGAUGCUGGCGUAAUGGUUGUAAGCGACCCGUCUUGAAACACGGACCAAGGAGUCUAACAUCUAUGCGAGUGUUUGGGUGUCAAACCCAUACGCGUAAUGAAAGUGAACGGAGCUAAGAACCCUUUAGGGUGCAUUAGCGACCGAUCCUGAUGUCUUCGGACGGAUUUGAGUACGAGCAUAGCUGUUGAGACCCGAAAGAUGGUGAACUAUGCCUGAAUAGGGUGAAGCCAGAGGAAACUCUGGUGGAGGCUCGCAGCGGUUCUGACGUGCAAAUCGAUCGUCAAAUUUGGGCAU